UCUGUCUCUGUGUGUUCACUCUGUGUGUUCACUCUGUGUAUUCUCUCUCUGUGUCUCUGUGUGUUCACUCUGUGUGUUCACUCUGUGUGUCCACUCUGUGUAUUCUCUCAGUGUCUCUGUGUGUUCACUCUGUGUAUUCUCUCUCUCUCUCUUGCAGGAAGAGCUCCUUGCGGAGCUGGAGGAGAUGGAGCAGGAGGAUCUGGAGAAGGACCUGCUCUCCGUGGAGGACCAGACUCCGGCUGUCCUUCCCAGCAUUCCCAGCGACCAGCUGCCCUCCUUGCCCUCCCAGAGCAACAAGAAGCCAGCAAAAGCAGAGGAUGAAGAUGAUGAAAUGAGAGAGCUGGCAAACUGGGCUUUAUGAGGGAGAGAGAGAAAGAGACAGGGGAGAGGGAGAAAGAGACAGGGGAGAGGGAGAGCGAGACGGAGGAGAGAGAGAGAGAAAGAGACAGGGGAGAGGGAGAGGGAGAGCGAGACAGAGGAGAGAGAGAGAGAAAGAGAGAGAGAGGGUUACACUUUAUAAUUACGGUGCCUUAAGUUCUAGCUUUGUUAAUUAGGGCUGCUCUGAAACUCCUAAUCGCCAUUGAGAAGUAUUAAUUAAUUAAUUAAUUAAUUAAUUAAUUAAUUAAUUAAUUAAUUAAGCGGCCGGUAUUCAAUAAAUCCACUCAUCACCGCGUUGAUUACAAAACAAGAAAACCUGUCCUUCCCUCACCUUUACAAUCGAGUACCGAGUGGCGGUUGUAAAGGUGAGGGAAGGACAGGUUCUCUUGUUUUGUAAUCAACGCGGUGAUGAGUGGAUCACUUGAACACCUGCCGAUAAAUUAAAUAAAUAGAUCAAUAAAGGCGAUCUGGAGAUUUCAGCGCAGCCCUCGGAGUUCUCAUUUUCAAUAACAGGACCAGCCUGAUUUCUAGGUUCCCCAUUUAAACAAAAGAAUGAAUAAAUAAAAUAUCAAUGGCCCAGCUGUAAAUAUUGCAGCGUUUAUUUGAAAAGUGGUUCCCCUUUACUGAAACGGUCUGCAGAGAGUUUCAGGCGGUCGGUGUUGAAUGAAUUUUUGUUUUGGGCAAGCUGAACCCUUUCUUUAGCCCCGUGUAACAGCAAACGGGUUCAAAUGUAAAUACACGAUUUACUUGCCCUAAUCUAGCUUGCUUGCUUUCUUUCCCAAACUCUAGAAUUAAACUGACACUAGAAAUGAAAGAAAACGAAGUUACUGAAACUUAGAUUCAAUGGCUAACGUUUCCACUAGAAGUCUUUCUCAGCGUCUUCAGUGUAAAUUCAAUGGCAAACGUUUCCACUAGAAGUCUUUCUGUGUCAAUUCAAUGGUAAACGUUUCCACUAGAAGUCUUUCUGUGUCAAUUCAAUGGCAAACGUUUCCACUAGAAGUCUUUCUCAGCGUCUUCAGUGUAAAUUCAAUGGCAAACGUUUCCACUAGAAGUCUCUCUCAGCGUCUUCAGUGUCAAUUCAAUGGCAAACGUCUCCACUAGAAGUCUCUCUCAGCGUCUUCAGUGUAAAUUCACCGGCAAACGUUUCCACUAGACGUCUUUCUUAGCGAACGCGUGUCUCAGUGUGUGAUUGAGAGACCCGGACGGCUCAACGGGUCUCAGUUGAAUUCUUAGAAAGGAGAGGAGAAAAGAAAUCUGGGUACAACACCGAGAAUCAGAAGCUCUAAUUGUAAAACCUCAGGAGCCUGCCCAUUCUGUGCCGAACGCCUUUAUACCCAUUACAACGCCCCCCGUGGUGCAGAUAACACUGGAGUGUUUAACACAAGAGCUGUUUCUUUCUUUAUUAGUUUAAAAACAGGACACUGUUUUGGAUCUUUAAUUUCUAGGGAGGGGAAGGGAAGGGGAGGGGAGGGGAGGGGAGGCAGGUGGCACAGAGACAGGUAGAGAGAGACAGACAGACAGGGAGAGAGAGAGACACAGGUAGAGAGAGACAGACAGACAGGUAGAGAGAGACAGACAGACAGGGAGAGAGACACAGGUAGAGAGAGACAGACAGACAGGGAGAGACACACAGGUAGAGAGAGACAGACAGGUAGACACACAGGUAGAGAGACACAGACAGACAGGUAGACACACACAGGUAGACACACACACACACACAGACAGGUAGAGACACACAGGUAGACACACACAGAUAGACACAGACAGACAGGUAGAGAGACACAGGUAGACACAGACAGGUACAGACAUACAGGCAGGCAGACAGACACACAGAGACAGACAGGUAGAGACACACAGGUACAGACAUACAGGCAGACAGACACACAGAGACAGACAGUGCCCACACUAUGUCUUUAUAUUUGUCAGAGCCAUUUUGUGAAACACCGCAUUGGGAUCAAGUUUGUUUUGCUGGCAGUACACUAGCUGUGCACCAGAUGGCGCUGGCUCUUACUAAUAUAAAAGACACUUUGGAUGUACACCAUGUGACUGAUUCACCUGCCAUAGCACUGUCAAUAGGGUGUAGACCAUGUGACUGAUUCACCUGCCAUAGCACUGUCAAUAGGGUGUAGACCAUGUGACUGAUUCACCUGCCAUAGCACUGUCAAUAGGGUGUAGACCAUGUGACUGAUUCACCUGCCAUAGCACUGUCAAUAGGGUUUCUGAAAUGGCACAAUGUACCGUUAUCAAUACCUCUUCUAAAUUCUGUAAUAUAAAAAAUAUAAAAUAAAAUGAUAACGAUGUUGUUGUUAUUUUUAUGAUGGUAAUAAAAUCUAAUGUUAAAAAAAUAAAUUAAA
Long non-coding RNA from Acipenser ruthenus (sterlet), 2732 nucleotides. RefSeq lists it as uncharacterized. Lineage: Eukaryota; Metazoa; Chordata; Actinopteri; Acipenseriformes; Acipenseridae. The transcript has 2 exons. The record is from RefSeq and is a predicted model, not a curated record.